This 504-nucleotide ribosomal RNA is filed under the name uncultured bacterium. Its description in RNAcentral is "SSU rRNA". It matches the Rfam family "Bacterial small subunit ribosomal RNA", at positions 26 to 518 of the family's 1533-position model. The record is from RNAcentral.
AGGACGAACGCUGGCGGCGCGCUUAACACAUGCAAGUCGAGCGAGAACCAGUCCUUCGGGACUGGGGACAGCGGCGAACGGGUGAGUAACACGUGGGUAAUCGACCCUUGGUACUGGGAUAGCCCGGGGAAACCCGGAUUAAUACCGGAUGGCCCAGCAGCUCUUCGGGGCGGCUGGAAAAGGUAGCUUCGGCCUCCGACCAAGGACGAGCCCGCGGCGGAUUAGCUUGUUGGCGGGGUAACGGCCCACCAAGGCGACGAUCCGUAGCUGGUCUGAGAGGACGAUCAGCCACACUGGGACUGAGACACGGCCCAGACUCCUACGGGAGGCAGCAGUGGGGAAUCUUGCGCAAUGGGCGAAAGCCUGACGCAGCGACGCCGCGUGGGGGAAGAAGGCUUUCGGGUUGUAAACCCCUUUCAGGAAGGACGAAGCUACUCGGGUUAAUAGCCCAGAGGGUGACGGUACUUCCAGAAGAGCCCCGGCUAACUACGUGCCAGCAGCCGC